This 2016-nucleotide ribosomal RNA is filed under the name seawater metagenome. Its description in RNAcentral is "bacterial LSU rRNA". It matches the Rfam family "Bacterial large subunit ribosomal RNA", at positions 1 to 2042 of the family's 2925-position model. The record is from RNAcentral.
UCAGACGUGUGCUCUUCCGAUCUGGGAUGCCUUGGCGUUAAGAGAAUGAAGGGCGUGGAAGUCUGCGAAAAGCCUGGGGGAGUUGACAAACAAGUAAUGAUCCCGGGAUUCCCAACUGCAGCCAGCUGAAUACAUAGGCUGGUUUGUAACAACCUAGUGAACUGAAACAUCUAAGUAACUAGAGGAAGAGAAAGAAAAAUCGAUUCCGUCAGUAGCGGCGAGCGAAAUCGGAAUAGCCCAAACCCCGGGGGUUUCCCUUGGGGGGUUGUAGGACUCCAAUGUUGGAUUGUGUGUUGCUAGUGGAAGAUUCUGGAAAGUUUCGCCACAGAGGGUGACAGUCCCGUACACGAAAGUAAACACACACCAUAGGAGCACCUGAGUAGGUCCAGUCACGUGAAACCUGGACUGAAUCCGCGGGGACCAUCCCGCAAGGCUAAAUACUCCUUAACGACCGAUAGUAAACCAGUAGCGUGAGUGAAUGGUGAAAAGAACCCCUGCUAGGGGAGGUAAUGAACCUGAAACCAUGUGCCUACAAGCGGUCGGAGCUCUAUGUCUCAGCUUGCUGAGAAAUGGGUGACGGCGUGCCUUUUGCAUAAUGAUCCGGCGAGUUGUGGUAUGCGGCUUGGUUAAGUCCUUACGGGACGUAGCCCAAGGGAAACCGAGUCUGAAUAGGGCGAAUUUGUCGUAUGCUGCAGACGCGAAACCUGUGUGAUCUACCCAUGAGCAGGUUGAAGCGCGGGUUAAACUGCGUGGAGGACCGAACCCACUUAGGUUGAAAACUGAGGGGAUGACUUGUGGGGAGGACUGAAAGUGUAAUCAAACCAGGAGAUAGCUCGUUCUCUCCGAAAUAUCUUGAGGGAUAGCGUCGAGUAAAUUAGUUACCGGGGGUAGAGAUACUGAAUCGGAUGGGGGCCCUUCCCAGGGUACCCCACCGAACCAAACUCCGAAUACCGGUUAACCUUACCUCGGCAGUCAGUCCCUGGGGGAUAAGCUCCAGGGUCGAGAGGGAAACAACCCAGAUCGCCUGCUAAGGUCCCGAAGGACCACUUAGUCACUAAGGAAGUUGAAGUGCCGUGACAGCUGGGAUGUUGGCUUAGAAGCAGCCACCAUUUAAAAAGUGCGUAACAGCUUACCAGUCGAGCAUUUCUGCGCCGAUAAUGAACGGGAGUAAGUGGUACACCGAAGCAGCGGGCUCUAGUUUACUAGAGCGGUAGGAGAGCGCCGAUGAUCAGAUACGAGCCGUACGGUAACGAGCGGUGUCGGGGUCAUCGGGUGAUUAUGCCGGAAUGAGUAACGAUAAAACAGGUGAGAAUCCUGUUCGCCGAAAGCCUAAGGUUUCCUGGGGAAGGCAAUUCCGCCCAGGGUUAGCCGGUACCUUAGUCGAGGCCGAAAGGCGUAGACGAUGGAUAGCAGGUCAACAUUCCUGCGCCGGUUGUGUAUUCGAUGUGGGGACGGCGUCCAGAAAGUGAGCGGUACGAAUAGAAAUGUCCGUAGCGAAAGCUGAGAUAUCCGGGGUUAAAAUACCGGUGUUCGUCAAGGCUGAGCUCGAGAGCGUUUAAGUUCUCGAAGUCAUUGGAAGGACGUCCAAGAAAAGCCACUAGGUUAAGCAACUGACCGUACUAAAACUGACACAGGUAGGUGAGAAGAGAAUUCUAAGGCGCUCGGGAGAACGGUGGUUAAGGAACUCUGCAAAAUGGCCCCGUAAGUUCGCGAUAAGGGGCGCCCUCUUUGGUUUACGCUGAAGGGGGCCACAGAAAAUCGGCUCUAACGACUGUUUAUCAAAAACACAGGUCUCUGCUAACACGCAAGUGGAUGUAUAGAGACUGACGCCUGCCCGGUGCUGGUAGGUUAAGGAAGACGGUUAGCCUCACGGCGAAGCUGGCGACCGAAGCCCCAGUAAACGGCGGCCCUAACUAUGAGGGUCCUAAGGUAGCGAAGUUCCUUGUCGGGUAAGUUCCGACCUGCAUGAAAGGCGUAACGAUUUGAGCAGAUCGGAAGAGCGUCGUGUAGGGAAAG